ACCCUGGUUCCAGAGGUUUAUUUUUAUUAUUAUCAUUGCGAAGGGGAGAGGAAAAAUAAACCUCUGGUUGAAAGCGGCAAUUGAUUCAUCGAGCCGCGCCAAUCAGUUUGAAUUAGGGUCAGAUCCCGACUCUGUCUCCUGAUUGGAUGAUUGUACUAAAGCUCUCUGAUUGAUUCAAAUAAAACAUCUAUAACCAAUCAGAGAGCUUUAAUACAAUCAUCCAAUCAGGAGACAGAGUCAG
This 241-nucleotide long non-coding RNA is filed under the name Paramuricea clavata. Lineage: Eukaryota; Metazoa; Cnidaria; Anthozoa; Malacalcyonacea; Plexauridae. The record is from RNAcentral.